ACCUCCGAGUGGAAGGGCUGUCGCUCAACGGAUAAAAGUUACUCUAGGGAUAAGAGGCUAAUCUUCCGCAAUAGCUCACAUUGACGGGAAGGUUUGGCACCUCGAUGUCGGCUCUUCUCCACCUGGGGCUGUAGUAUGUUCCAAGGGUUGGGCUGUUCGCCCAUUAAAGCGGUACGUGAGCUGGGUUCAGAAUGUCAUGAGACAGUUCGGUCCAUAUCUGGUGUGGGCGUUAGAGCAUUGAGAGGACCUUUCCCUAGUACGAGAGGACCGGGAAGGACGCACCUCUGGUGUACCAAUUAUCGUGCCCAUGGUAAAUGCUGGGUAGCCAAGUGCGGAGCAGAUAACUGCUGAAAGCAUCUAAGUAGUGAGCCCACCCCAAGAUGAGUGCUCUCAUAUUCUGACUUCCUCAGA
Non-coding RNA from Gossypium raimondii (Peruvian cotton), 411 nucleotides. NCBI's taxonomy places the organism in Eukaryota, Viridiplantae, Streptophyta, Magnoliopsida, Malvales, Malvaceae. The record is from Rfam.